CCUACGGGAGGCAGCAGUGGGGAAUAUUGGACAAUGGGCGAAAGCCUGAUCCAGCCAUGCCGCGUGUGUGAAGAAGGUCUUCGGAUUGUAAAGCACUUUAAGUUGGGAGGAAGGGCAUUAACCUAAUACGUUAGUGUUUUGACGUUACCGACAGAAUAAGCACCGGCUAACUCUGU
RNAcentral lists this ribosomal RNA (176 nucleotides) under uncultured bacterium. Its description in RNAcentral is "partial 16S ribosomal RNA". It matches the Rfam family "Bacterial small subunit ribosomal RNA", at positions 338 to 506 of the family's 1533-position model. The record is from RNAcentral.